This 723-nucleotide long non-coding RNA is filed under the name Rattus norvegicus (Norway rat). RNAcentral's name for it is "long non-coding RNA NONRATT001651". The record is from RNAcentral. Lineage: Eukaryota; Metazoa; Chordata; Mammalia; Rodentia; Muridae.
GGAUCCAAGAGGCUGUUUUCGUUUGUUUUUCCAGAAAGCCAAAGCAGAGGAAGAAGGUUAUUUUGAAGCAUUCAAAAAUGAGCUUGAAGCUUUCAAGGCAAGAGUAAGACUUUACGCUCAGUCACAAAGCUUUGCACCUGUGACAGUUGAGAAUCAUGCUCCCCAUUCUGGUGUCGGGUGCAUAGGCUCCGCAGAACCCCUACCACAGGGUUUUGUAUAGUGAAAAGAGUCCUCUGAAACCCAACCAUCACUGCCAACCUGAGCUCUGAUGGGCUCAACAGCUGCUUCUUGGGUGAAAGGGGCAGCUGCUUCACCCUCCCCCUCUGGCCUGGCGUUCUUUUAUUUUCCUCCUGAGUGACACUAACCCGAAAUAGAAACAGAAACAACAUAGAAAGGACUCCUGGAGACAAGUCGGACCCAGCGUUUGCCUUUUACUAAAGAAACACAAAGUGUUGUAUGGGUUUCCUCCGUAAGUUCUUGUUUGUUUGUUUGUUUGUUUGUUUGUUUGUUUGAAGCAAGUUUGACUGUUGUAAUCAAGGUUGGCCUUGAACUCUUGAUUCUCCAAGAAUGCUGGAUCCUCUUGACUGUUAGAAUUAUGGGAGAGAGCCAUUGUACUUGACUUAGAAAGUAUUGUAUUUUAUUAGGAUUAAAACAAAAACAGUUCCCCUGUGAGAUGAGGUAUUUAAGACAUCGAGCUCCAGUCACCUUUGUAUAUGCUUGGGG